This 406-nucleotide ribosomal RNA is filed under the name uncultured bacterium. RNAcentral's name for it is "partial 16S ribosomal RNA". It matches the Rfam family "Bacterial small subunit ribosomal RNA", at positions 30 to 526 of the family's 1533-position model. The record is from RNAcentral.
AUUGAACGCUGGCGGCAGGCCUAACACAUGCAAGUCGAACGAGUGGCGGACGGGUGAGUAAUGUCUGGGAAACUGCCUGAUGGAGGGGGAUAACUACUGGAAACGGUAGCUAAUACCGCAUACCAUCAGAUCUGCCCAGAUGGGAUUAGCUAGUUGGUGGGGUAACGGCUCACCAAGGCAACGAUCCCUAGCUGGUCUGAGAGGAGGACCAGCCACCCUGGAACGAGGACACGGUCCAGACUCCUACGGGAGGCAGCAGUGGGAAAUAUUGCACAAUGGGCGCAAGCCUGAUGCAGCCAUGCCGCGGGUAUGAAGAAGGCCUUCGGGUGGUAAAGUACUUUCAGCGGGGAGGCGUUACCCGCAGAAGAAGCGCCGGCUAACUCCGUGCCAGCCGCCGCGGUAAUUC